Molecule: long non-coding RNA, 282 nt
Filed under: Mytilus galloprovincialis (Mediterranean mussel)
Lineage: Eukaryota; Metazoa; Mollusca; Bivalvia; Mytilida; Mytilidae
Source: RNAcentral
GUUUUGGUGAUGGUGAUGUGUUUGUAGAUCUUACUUUACUGAACAUUCUUGCUGCGUACAAUUAUCCCUAUCUAUAAGAAUUGGCCCAGGGGAAAAUGUUAGUAAAAAUUUACAAAUUUUAUGAAAAUUGUUACAAAUUUACCAUAAAGGGCAAUAACUCCUUAGGGGGUCAAUUGACCAUUUUGGUCAUGUUGACUUAUUUUUAGGUCUUACUUUGCUGUAAAUUAUUGCUGUUUACAGUUUAUCUCUAUCUAUAAUAACAUUCAAGAUAAUAACAAAAAA